GCCUUGGUGGUGGAAUUGGUAGACACGCGAGACUUAAAAUCUCGUGAUCAUUACGAUCUUGCGGGUUCAAGUCCCGCCCGGGGUA
This 85-nucleotide transfer RNA is filed under the name Bacteroidales bacterium. RNAcentral's name for it is "tRNA-Leu". It matches the Rfam family "tRNA". Rfam says of the family: Transfer RNA (tRNA) molecules are approximately 80 nucleotides in length. Their secondary structure includes four short double-helical elements and three loops (D, anti-codon, and T loops). The record is from RNAcentral. Lineage: Bacteria; Pseudomonadati; Bacteroidota; Bacteroidia; Bacteroidales.